This 465-nucleotide ribosomal RNA is filed under the name uncultured bacterium. RNAcentral's name for it is "bacterial SSU rRNA". It matches the Rfam family "Bacterial small subunit ribosomal RNA", at positions 52 to 507 of the family's 1533-position model. The record is from RNAcentral.
CACAUGCAAGUCGAACGGUAACGCGGAGAGCUUGCUCUCUGGCGACGAGUGGCGGACGGGUGAGGUAAUACUUGGGAAUCUGCCCAGUAGUGGGGGACAACAUUCGGAAACGGAUGCUAAUACCGCAUACGCACUACGGUGGAAAGUGGGGGAUCUUCGGACCUCACGCUAUUGGAUGAGCCUAAGUCGGAUUAGCUUGUUGGUGAGGUAAUGGCUCACCAAGGCGACGAUCCGUAGCUGGUCUGAGAGGACGAUCAGCCACACUGGGACUGAGACACGGCCCAGACUCCUACGGGAGGCAGCAGUGGGGAAUAUUGGACAAUGGGCGCAAGCCUGAUCCAGCAAUGCCGCGUGUGUGAAGAAGGCCUGCGGGUUGUAAAGCACUUUCAGUAGAGAAGAAAAGCCUAGGGUUAAUACCCCUGAGUCUUGACGUAACCUACAGAAGAAGCACCGGCUAACUCCGUG